This 253-nucleotide ribosomal RNA is filed under the name uncultured bacterium. Its description in RNAcentral is "partial 16S ribosomal RNA". It matches the Rfam family "Bacterial small subunit ribosomal RNA", at positions 524 to 776 of the family's 1533-position model. The record is from RNAcentral.
UACGUAGGGGGCAAGCGUUGUCCGGAUUUAUUGGGCGUAAAGAGCGUGUAGGCGGCUAUACAGGUCCGCUGUGAAAACUCGAGGCUCAACCUCGAGAUGUCGAUGGAAACCGUCUGGCUAGAGUCCGGAAGAGGAGUGUGGAAUUCCUGGUGUAGCGGUGAAAUGCGCAGAUAUCAGGAAGAACACCUAUGGCGAAGGCAGCACUCUGGGACGGUACUGACGCUGAGACGCGAAAGCGUGGGGAGCGAACAGG